RNAcentral lists this ribosomal RNA (595 nucleotides) under uncultured bacterium. RNAcentral's name for it is "bacterial SSU rRNA". It matches the Rfam family "Bacterial small subunit ribosomal RNA", at positions 8 to 598 of the family's 1533-position model. The record is from RNAcentral.
AGAGUUUGAUCCUGGCUCAGAUUGAACGCUGGCGGCAUGCCUUACACAUGCAAGUCGAACGGCAGCACGGACUUCGGUCUGGUGGCGAGUGGCGAACGGGUGAGUAAUACAUCGGAACGUACCCUGUUGUGGGGGAUAACUAGUCGAAAGAUUAGCUAAUACCGCAUACGACCUGAGGGUGAAAGUGGGGGACCGUAAGGCCUCACGCAGCAGGAGCGGCCGAUGUCUGAUUAGCUAGUUGGUGGGGUAAAGGCCCACCAAGGCGACGAUCAGUAGCUGGUCUGAGAGGACGAUCAGCCACACUGGGACUGAGACACGGCCCAGACUCCUACGGGAGGCAGCAGUGGGGAAUUUUGGACAAUGGGGGCAACCCUGAUCCAGCAAUGCCGCGUGUGUGAAGAAGGCCUUCGGGUUGUAAAGCACUUUUGUCCGGAAAGAAAUCGCUUCGGUUAAUACCUGGGGUGGAUGACGGUACCGGAAGAAUAAGCACCGGCUAACUACGUGCCAGCAGCCGCGGUAAUACGUAGGGUGCGAGCGUUAAUCGGAAUUACUGGGCGUAAAGCGUGCGCAGGCGGUUUUGUAAGACAGGCGUGAA